UGCCUUCGGGAACUCGAACACAGGUGCUGCAUGGCUGUCGUCAGCUCGUGUCGUGCGAUGUUGGGUUAAGUCCCGCAACGAGCGCAACCCUUGUCCUUAGUUGCCAGCACGUAAUGGUGGGAACUCUCAGGAGACCGCCGGUGACAAACCGGAGGAAGGUGGGGAUGACGUCAAGUCAUCAUGGCCGUUACGGCCAGGGCUACACACGUACUACAAUGGUAGGGACUGAGGGCUGCAAGCCGGCGACGGUAAGCCAAUCCCAGAAACCCUAUCUCAGUCCGGAUUGGAGUCUGCAACUCGACUCCAUGAAGUCGGAAUCGCUAGUAAUCGCAGAUCAGCUUGCUGCGGUGAAUACGUUCCCGGGCCUUGUACACACCGCCCGUCACACCAUGGGAGUUUGUUGCACCAGA
Molecule: ribosomal RNA, 410 nt
Filed under: uncultured Stenotrophomonas sp.
Lineage: Bacteria; Pseudomonadati; Pseudomonadota; Gammaproteobacteria; Lysobacterales; Lysobacteraceae
Description: bacterial SSU rRNA
Rfam family: Bacterial small subunit ribosomal RNA
Source: RNAcentral